AGAUAACCUCCGAGCUCCGGCCAAACGACGCCUAAAAGGCCUUAAAACGAAGCCCUGCUGCACUCAUAACGGCACUCAACCAGCUCCCGGGGAAACCCCAGUAAGAGAGCAGCAAGCUGAUGCCUUUUUUGUACCCGCAAACGAGCAGAAAGACCCGACGGAAAACCGGGGCCUACUCUGCCUACCAAGCCACGAGGCUAGCACAGGAACUUACAGCCCUGAGAGUGCACCAGGACGCCGACCUGCAGAUUGGGUCAGCUGUGCCUAACGACCACAACAUG
Molecule: non-coding RNA, 281 nt
Organism: Pelobates cultripes (western spadefoot toad)
Lineage: Eukaryota; Metazoa; Chordata; Amphibia; Anura; Pelobatidae
Source: the annotation of a GenBank genome assembly